AUGUCGCCAUCGGAGGACACCUCACUUCCCUUCAAGCUUAAGAGAAAACAAUUCCCCAUCCGCCUGAGUUUUGCGAUGACCAUUAACAAGGCACAGGGUCAAACCCCGAAUGUCGGUAUUUACCUUCCCGAACCUGUUUUCUCACAUGGCUAGCUAUAUGUUGCAUUGUCAAGGGGUGUGUCAAGAAAGACGACACGAAUUUUAGCCAAGCCUAACAAGGAGGUUGAUAAAUCUGGGAAGAGCACCAAAAACAUUGUCUAUAAAGAUGUUUUAGAGGGGUGA
RNAcentral lists this ribosomal RNA (282 nucleotides) under Triticum aestivum (bread wheat). RNAcentral's name for it is "partial small subunit ribosomal RNA". Lineage: Eukaryota; Viridiplantae; Streptophyta; Magnoliopsida; Poales; Poaceae. The record is from RNAcentral.